Cavia porcellus (domestic guinea pig) is the source of this 3405-nucleotide long non-coding RNA. RefSeq annotates it as chromosome unknown C19orf18 homolog. The record is from RefSeq and is a predicted model, not a curated record. The transcript has 7 exons. Lineage: Eukaryota; Metazoa; Chordata; Mammalia; Rodentia; Caviidae.
AAUCUACUUGAACCUGGAAGUUUCAGGAACAGGAACAAAGGGUUCUGGCAUGAAGACAGAACUUUUCCAUUUACCCCAAGUGCAAGAGGCAAUAAAGUGUCACAAACAUUCAGAAAUGUCAUAAAACAGCCCAGAAGUUUCUUUGAUAUAAUCAGAUCUCCUGGGAUUCCAAAUUUUUCCUUGAGACCUAAAGUACCGACUAAGCCCAUGAAUUUGCUGAGGAAUAAAGGUCAGUCAAGGGAUCUGGGAGGGCAGUGGGAUGUGUAAACACUCCUAAGGCUGUCGUGGUAUGCACUCUGGGGACACAGAAUAGACAGCACCUCUCUGCAGCCACCUUGUGGGUGACUGGGUGAGUAACGGUGCAGAUCUGGAAGUAGCACAGCUGUGUGGACUGAGGUCAUGGCAACAAAGCACAGCAACAGCAGCGUGGCAAAUGGCAGAGGGGGCAAACAAUUCAUGGCAGUGGAAGAUAGCAAAAUCACCAAGGAUGGGGGCAAGACAAGCACAGGUGGAGACUGAGAUUGGGUGCCCCUGGGGGACACAGAGAAUGCACUGACCCCAAAGCACUCUUUCUGGCUUCUUCUCCACUCUUGGUUUUUUCUCCUGGCCCUCCUGGGACCUCCUAAGACCACCUGAAUCAGAGUCCUCUAAACCAGAAAGCCAUCUCUCGUAGGAUUGCUGUUCCUCCCACCUCAGAUGUGCUUUCUCUCUGCAAGGGCACUUUUUUCUGAUUUUUCUGAGAAAGAUCAGGUAAAUCAGGGUAAUCAGUCUUGCUAGUUGAACAACUUUGGUGACCAUGCAGCACAGAGGCUUCUGGGGUAGCCUGGUGUCUGAAGCUGGAGUGAGGAGGGCACAUGGACAGAAGCACUCAAGGACAUUCUUCCUUUCCUAUUUGCUGGCUCAGAGUGCUUGUGUAUCCUCCACUGUAUUCACAUGUUCAAAUCUGCAUUCCUUGGAUGAUGGUAUUAGAAAGUGAGGCCUUUGGGAGAUGAUUAUGUCAUGGGAUAGAGCUCUCAUGAGUAAGAUUACUGCCCUUAGAAGAGAAGCCCCAGAAGCCAGGCAGGUCCUGUGGUCCUAGCUAUUCCAGGGGUGGAGAAUAGGAGACCAUUCCAGUGCAGGAGUCAGAGAACAGUCUGGGAAAACAGUGAAACCCUGUCUCAUAUGAAACAAACAAAUGAACACACAAAAAACCCUAGAGAGCUGUCUUGCUUCUGAGGAAAUAGCUAGAUGGGGCCGUCUAUGAACUGAUAAUGGGCCAUCUAUGAACAGGAAGUGGGCCCUUACCACAUACUGAACCUGGUGUCACUUUGAAUUUGGAAUUCCCAGCUCCAGAACUGUGAAGAAUACAUUUCUGUUGUUUAUAAGCCAUCAAGUAUAUGGAACUUUGUUAUAACAGCCUGAACAGACUGACUAUGAUAUCAUGGUUUUUAUCUCAUUCUCAUUUUCAUAAUUUUCUCAACUUACCCCCAAACCAUCUCUUGAUGCCUCAGCUUCCUUCAGAAUCUGUACUCAUUUCUCUUUUUGUAGAAGAUCCUCAAGAGCAUUUCCAAAGCUCCCUCUCUCUGACCCCUUUUUUUCCUCCUCUUUUGAGCCUGCUUAAGUUAAACUUGUGUCCUCACGAGUCUGCUAAUGCUACCUUUGCCCAAGUCUCGAAUGACGUCUUUGAUGCCCGCUCUAGUGGCUAAUUUUUAGUUCCAAAUAUACCCAUUUUGUUUUCUCAUCUACAAUAUUUCAUGGUGAAAAAUCGGAAGAUACACAGGAAGGUAGACAGAGCAGUAGGUGAAUACUGAUAUACCUCAUACUUCAAAUCUUCAGUUAAUCAUUUUACACUCCUAGGUGUUUCAUAGGCUAGGUUUUUUUGUGUCACAUUGAGCUAAUUUUCCACUGAAUCACAGGAUAUGUUUUUGACUCCAUUAGAAAAAUCACUUUAUCCUGUACUGGGGAGGAAGUGAGAGAAGUGAGAGAAGUGAGAGAAGGCUAAGUGUGAAAUGAUGAGUAGUCAUCUCGGUCAGAUUUUACAAAUGACUGAGUAAUGUAUGCUCUUUGGCAAUUGUUCCAUUGUUCACAUUAUACACGUAAUAAUUCUCUCUUCUUUUUUUUAAAAAAUUUCAGAUAGUAUGAAGGAGGAUGAUACACCUCAGCUUGCAAAGAACAACCAUGGUUUAACAGCACGAUCUCUAGCCAUAAAAUCUGACGAAUGGAAUAGAGCAGUAAUUCCACACAGACCUGCUCUUGUUCAAGUGAUUUUAGUUGCAUGUAUAGCCUUUGGCAUUGCUGUGAUAUGUGGGAUCAUAGUCUUCUGUGUUAUACAUCAAAUAGUAAAGGCAGAGGAAAGACAACAGCUUACACUGCUUUAUGAAAAUGUUCAGAUUCCACUGUUAGGAGACCAGGAGGGCUCUGAGGACAGUGGAUCUGAAGAAUCUACACACCUGCUUCCAGAGAAUGAAAAGGAGCUGGGCAAGUUCAUCAUCUCAGUUAUUAGAUCAAAAAGAAGGGAAAAUAUUGAAAAGGAGAAAUGGAGGGAAGAGGAACAGUUACUGAAUGAAGGGAAUUCUGUAUACAAGGCAAAAACAGAGAAUCUAUGAGAGCAGUAGAAGGCAACACAGGAUGUGCUGGCCAAGGUGAAGAAGAAAUUGCAGCAAUUAUGAACGACUGAGAAGGAAGUGGACCUGCAGAUGGGAACUAUCGUACACAUACCCAGAAGUGGUAAGUGUUACAGGAUGGCAGUUGCACGUGUAGAAUACACAAGACUCAGUCUAAAUGGUUCAGUUGCUUUAAGAAUCUUCUUGAAAAUUCUUCAAAAGUUAACUACAGAGUUACUAUGUGAUCCAGCAGUUCCAUUUGUAGGUCUGUAUUAAAGAGGACUGAAAACACAUGUACAUACAAAAACCUGCACAUAGACAUUUAUAAAAACACUGUUUCUAAGAGUCCAAAGAUAGAAACAACUGAUAUGUCCAUCAAUUUACAAAACAAUGAAUGCAAUAUAAUCUGUACAAUCAAUGGCAUGUUUUAGCAGUAAACAAGAAUGAAAUAUUGAUGUACACUACCACAUAAAGAAACUUCAGAAACAUGAUGCUAAGUGCAAGAAAUCAGAUACACAUAUUGUAUAAUUCUUAUGAUUCAAAAUGUUCUGAAUUGGCAAAGCUAUAAUUGCAGAAAUCUGAUCAGUUGUUCUAGUAGCUGAUAGCUAAGGGACUGCAAAUGGGAAUGGGGUUCCUUCCUGUGAUAAUAAAGAUGCUUAAAAAUUUGAUAGUGAUGAUGUUCAUACAAACUUGGGAAUACACUAACAUACACUGAGCAGUAUGCUCAAAAAGGGCAAAUUUGCACAUGUGAAUUAAGUCUUAAUUAAGCUGUUAUUGAGAAACAAUAUUGAUCUAUGUUGAGAUUAAACUGAAACCAAACUCA